Molecule: ribosomal RNA, 253 nt
Filed under: uncultured bacterium
Lineage: Bacteria
Description: partial 16S ribosomal RNA
Rfam family: Bacterial small subunit ribosomal RNA
Source: RNAcentral
GACAGAGGGGGCAAGCGUUGCUCGGAAUUACUGGGCGUAAAGGGCGCGUAGGCGGGAUGGCAAGUCGGUCGUGAAAUCCCUCGGCUCAACUGGGGAGCGUCGAUCGAAACUGCCGUUCUUGAGGGUUGCAGAGGAGACUGGAAUUUACGGUGUAGCAGUGAAAUGCGUAGAGAUCGUAAGGAAGACCAGUGGCGAAGGCGGGUCUCUGGACAGUUCCUGACACUGAGGCACGAAGGCCAGGGGAGCAAACGGG